UACGGGGGGGGGCAAGCGUUGUUCGGAAUUACUGGGCGUAAAGCGUGCGCAGACGGUUGCGUAAGUCAGAUGUGAAAGCCCCGGGCUCAACCUGGGAAUUGCAUUUGAGACUGCGUAGCUAGGGUGCGGAAGAGGGAAGCGGAAUUUCCGGUGUAGCGGUGAAAUGCGUAGAUAUCGGAAGGAACACCAGUGGCGAAAGCGGCUUCCUAGUCCAGCACCGACGUCAGGCACGAAAGCGUGGGGAGCAAACAGG
This 253-nucleotide ribosomal RNA is filed under the name uncultured bacterium. RNAcentral's name for it is "partial 16S ribosomal RNA". It matches the Rfam family "Bacterial small subunit ribosomal RNA", at positions 524 to 776 of the family's 1533-position model. The record is from RNAcentral.